CCCCUCUCAGGGUCGCAACUGGAGAGUUUCCAGUACUCUACCAGUUUCGGCUACGAGAGGGAGAGUUAAGCAGAGGGCGUCCAUUCCAUUCCUAGCUUGGGCAGAAGCUAGAGAGUGGCAGGCAAUCUGAUACAAGG
Molecule: small nucleolar RNA, 137 nt
Organism: Ornithorhynchus anatinus (platypus)
Lineage: Eukaryota; Metazoa; Chordata; Mammalia; Monotremata; Ornithorhynchidae
Source: RefSeq, a predicted model, not a curated record